UUCCAAUCCCAUCAAUCUGGCAAUCACAUUUGAAGAAGUAGAAUAACUCUUGUCCUUCUUCUUUACUACCACCUGUGGUGAUGUUUGAUCUCUGGAUUUAGUAAUUGACUCCUCCUCCUGAUCUCUUCUUCUCCUGUAAAGCAAAGAAGCCCUUUCCUCAACUGAAAGCAAGUUCUGCCUAUCAAAGCUGUCAGUAAUUGCCAUCCUUAGCUCAUCAAUGUAAUCCCCUCCUCCAUCAACUGAAA
This 245-nucleotide long non-coding RNA is filed under the name Linum usitatissimum (flax). RNAcentral describes it as "long non-coding RNA (LUSI_LNC000507)". Lineage: Eukaryota; Viridiplantae; Streptophyta; Magnoliopsida; Malpighiales; Linaceae. The record is from RNAcentral.